GGGAGGAUAGGUCCAUUCUCCCCCCAUUUACACCUUUCAGGCCCCAUUUCAGCACCACCAUUCCAAGAUGGAUUUCCUUUCCGAGAUUGUCAGUACUGUUCCUUUUGUGACCAGAGAGGGUUCUAUUGAGUAACACACGCACCUGCUCUGCUCACAAUAUGGUGUCUGCCUAAGGUGCUUCUAGUCCCAACUGGGCCGAGGAAUGGGAUAACCUGUCAUAUGCUUUAUGACACGUAAGAAUUACAGCUAUAAUCUACACUCUGAGAUGGAGUUUCUACCAUUUAUCCUAGAGAAGGAAUCUUCAGGCAUUUUGAUAAAUUCUUCAGUGAUGAAGAUGCACAGAUAUCAUGGAAGUAUGUGGCUACCAUGUUGAUUGAUAGAUAUCUCUCUGAAAAUUCUCCGGAAAUGCUUCCAGGAAAGAAUGAAAGUGUUUCAUCUGUGCAAGGCAUUCUGAAACAGCCGUGUUAAGGGUGAACUCUGUGGCCUGUUCAGUCUAUUUAGCAAGCUCUGAGAUGUGAACAAGUACUGUGGAAUGACAUGGGUUCAGGAGCAGCUGGCAAGAGUGAGGAGAAGAAGACGUUUGUAAAUAAUUAAAUGAAAAGUGAAAUUAAAAGGUCAUGUAUAA
Non-coding RNA from Pelodiscus sinensis (Chinese soft-shelled turtle), 625 nucleotides. NCBI's taxonomy places the organism in Eukaryota, Metazoa, Chordata, Testudines, Trionychidae. The record is from RefSeq and is a predicted model, not a curated record.